This is a long non-coding RNA of Numida meleagris (helmeted guineafowl), 1384 nucleotides long. RefSeq lists it as uncharacterized. NCBI's taxonomy places the organism in Eukaryota, Metazoa, Chordata, Aves, Galliformes, Numididae. The transcript is spliced from 3 exons. The record is from RefSeq and is a predicted model, not a curated record.
CGAAGAUGAAAUAUUUGAUGCAACAACUGACUUCAGGCCCCUUGUAGUGCUUCCCGGACAUCCUCUGCGCUCAUGAAGACACUUUGCUCGCGGCCAGGAUGAAAACCGAGGAGGGUAGUCCUGCUUGCCCUGUGCAUUGUAUCAGCCUGCAGUCAUCAGGGAAGCUGAUGUUUUUCACCCAGAAGUAUUAACUUCUUGGAAGAAACUGACUCAUUGUCAGCUUGAGAAAACUGAGAGCCGAACAAAGAGGAGGUCCAGCCAUCUAGUGGUAAGUGGCACUGCUGUGCAGCAUACUAAAGCCUUCUGCAGGCAUGCUCACAGGCAAAUGCUCUGUAGAAUGAGAAAGGGACAUUUCACCUAACUGUUCCCAAAUUUUCAUAGCUGCAGCACUCUAUUGUAGUAAAGUGUCUAGCAAAUGAGUAUAUUGGAGCUAGCAGCUAAGUUAGGAGAAGGGUUGCCAGAAGUAACCACAUCAAACAUAAUGUCAGCUUUUGCUAGACUGAAACAAGGAAGAUCCUAAUAGUCUGCAGUCAGCGUUAUCUUUCUCACUGCUGUAGCAACUAGAUAUUCAAAGAAUGUUCGCGCUAUAGAGGUACCUGAUUACAGCAGUAUGUCUAGAGGGUGUGCACAGCAGAAUGGUACAAUGCUCACGAGUCCCGCUUCACAUGGGGAAAAGAGAGUUGUAAGCCAAUUGGCUGUCAUGAAACAAGAAGGAAGCAAUCGAACAGUUACACAGAGAAAGCCAUAUGCUUACUUCAAACUAGGAUAAAACAGUUACCUACCAAAUUUUGUUGAGAGUGAACUGUUUCGUAUUUUCAGUACAGUUACAAACUCAGAAAAAGCUUGGCAAGGCCUGAAGACACAUCAGAGCAGAACACAUGGAAUACUCCAAGGGAAGAGUUGCCAGAGCUCUCAUUUCAGAAGUGAUCUGUGCUUAGAAGCCCACAUUCACUUGAAACCAGUCAGCUGCAAGUUCUGCAGGGCCUAAUAUGAAACUCACUUAGGCACAGAGAAUGGGCAUCCAGUGGGAUAACCUAUGCAUCCUGAACAUUACAAUGCCAUUUCUUUCAGUGUUUAUUGAAUUUCAGUAAAUGCUUAAAGCCAGGUAUCUGUUUACCCAAUUAUACAUGCAGGUACUUUACUUACCUGAUAUUUGUGAUGAAUCCUGCUUUACCACACUUUCAGGGCUGCCUGAAGCCACAGAUGUUAGAAGGUGAAGAAGGAGCAGAAAAGCCAUGAUUUCUACCUUUCUUUCUUACCCUCUAGGAAGUGGAGGUAGCGGGUGGGCUUUAAUGAACUUUCUUUGUUUCCAAAGAAGGGCAACAAAGCUAAUGAAGGGUCUGGAGCACAAGUCCUGUGAGGAGCGGCUGAGGGAGCUGGGAUU